RNAcentral lists this long non-coding RNA (1005 nucleotides) under Callithrix jacchus (white-tufted-ear marmoset). Its description in RNAcentral is "lncRNA (ENSCJAG00000071845.1)". Lineage: Eukaryota; Metazoa; Chordata; Mammalia; Primates; Cebidae. The record is from RNAcentral.
CAGGACUGGGGUCCUUCUAAGAGGAGGCAAAGACAGAGGCUGUUCUCCCUCUGCAAGUGGACACAGAAGACACACUGUUCUCCCUCUGCAAGUGGACACAGAAGACACAGGCUGUUCUCCCUCUGCAAGUGGACACAGAAGACACAGGCUGUUCUCCCUCUGCAAGUGGACACAGAAGACACAGGCUGUUCUCCCUCUGCAAGUGGACACAGAAGGCACAGGCUGUUCUCCCUCUGCAAGUGGACACAGAAGACACAGGCUGUCCUCCCUCUGCAAGUGGACACAGAAGACACAGGCUGUUCUCCCUCUGCAAGUGGACGCAGAAGAGGCUGUUCUCCCUCUGCAAGUGGACACAGAAGACUGAGGUUGUUCUCCCUCUGCAAGUGGACACAGAAGACACAGGCUGUUCUCCCUCUGCAAGUGGACACAGAAGAGGCUGUUCUCCCUCUGCAAGUGGACACAGAAGACACAGGCUGUUCUCCCUCUGCAAGUGGACACAGAAGAGGCUGUUCUCCCUCUGCAAGUGGACACAGAAGACACAGGCUGUUCUCCCUCUGCAAGUGGACACAGAAGACACAGGCUGUUCUCCCUCUGCAAGUGGACACAGAAGACACAGGCUGUUCUCCCUCUGCAAGUGGACACAGAAGACACAGGCUGUUCUCCCUCUGCAAGUGGACACAGAAGAGGCUGUUCUCCCUCUGCAAGUGGACACAGAAGAGGCUGUUCUCCCUCUGCAAGUGGACACAGAAGACACAGGCUGUUCUCCCUCUGCAAGUGGACACAGAAGAGGCUGUUCUCCCUCUGCAAGUGGACACAGAAGAGGUUGUUCUCCCUCUGCAAGUGGACACAGAAGACACAGGCUGUUCUCCCUCUGCAAGUGGACACAGAAGACACAGGCUGUUCUCCCUCUGCAAGUGGACACAGAAGAGGCUGUUCUCCCUCUGCAAGUGGACACAGAAGAGGUUGUUCUCCCUCUGCAAGUGGACACAGAAGACUGAGGUUGUU